UGAGUGCAGAACUUGAACAUAAAGAAACAAACACUAUUAUAAUCAUAGUGUUGGAAAAGCAAAAGAUUAUAUUCAAGAUCAUUUGGCAUCUUUCAACAUCUCUGGAGCAGCUCGGAGAAUGUUUGUUCCCACGGGAAUCCAACUGGGCUCUAAGGGUGUCGUGAAACAGUUUUGCCAGGACCUCCACCUGGACUACAGCAGGAGGAUGAACUCUCCCAUCUGCCCGACAGUCCACCACUGGAACGUUCCUCUGGCCCCGUCGGGCCCUUGGCCUCAUCCUCUCUGACUGAAGACCCGCCAGAGAGCGUUAUUUCUGCACCAAUCCGGCGCCUGGAUCCAUACCUCAUCCCACAGGAACACCGCAGGGAGAUUUGACUCAUGUGGGUACCAAGGGCUGCUGUGGUGAGCAGACACCAAGCCACAGGACCAAGCGCCCGCUGCAAGAAAUGACCUGUAAGUCCUACAGCUGACGUAUUUAACAGGGAACAUCUCAGUGGUACG
This is a long non-coding RNA of Fundulus heteroclitus (mummichog), 501 nucleotides long. RefSeq lists it as uncharacterized. The transcript has 4 exons. The record is from RefSeq and is a predicted model, not a curated record. Lineage: Eukaryota; Metazoa; Chordata; Actinopteri; Cyprinodontiformes; Fundulidae.